ACCUGGCUGGUUCAGCCAGUAGAGCAUGUGACUCUUGAUCUCCUGGUCAUGAGUUCAAGUCCCAUGUCAGGUC
RNAcentral lists this transfer RNA (73 nucleotides) under Canis lupus familiaris (dog). It matches the Rfam family "tRNA". From Rfam's summary of the family: Transfer RNA (tRNA) molecules are approximately 80 nucleotides in length. Their secondary structure includes four short double-helical elements and three loops (D, anti-codon, and T loops). The record is from Rfam by way of RNAcentral. Lineage: Eukaryota; Metazoa; Chordata; Mammalia; Carnivora; Canidae. RNAcentral also lists the same sequence under 1 other name.